This 337-nucleotide ribosomal RNA is filed under the name Nematoda environmental sample. RNAcentral's name for it is "bacterial SSU rRNA". It matches the Rfam family "Eukaryotic small subunit ribosomal RNA", at positions 1300 to 1665 of the family's 1831-position model. Lineage: Eukaryota; Metazoa; Nematoda. The record is from RNAcentral.
CGUGGUGUGAAUCGUCUGCUUAAUUGCGAUAACGAGCGAGACUCUAACUGUUAAAUAGCACACGGAUCAUUUCGUCCGUGAGGCUUCUUAACUGGAUUCGCGGCUUCAAGCCGCAAGAAAUGGAGCAAUAACAGGUCUGUGAUGCCCUUAGAUGUUCGGGGCCGCACGCGUGCUACAAUGAUGGUAACAGCGUGAUUGUCCUCGCCCGACAGGGCUUGGCAAACAGUUGAGAUAUUAUUAUGGCUGGAACUGAGUGUUGAAAUUUUCUCUCAUGAACGAGGAAUUCCAAGUAAAUGCGCGUCAUCAACGUGCAUUGAUACGUCCCUGCCCUUUGUAC